This 73-nucleotide small RNA is filed under the name Streptomyces gilvosporeus. Lineage: Bacteria; Bacillati; Actinomycetota; Actinomycetes; Kitasatosporales; Streptomycetaceae. The record is from RNAcentral.
GAGGAAGCCCGGUGAGAAUCCGGCGCGGUCCCGCCACUGUGAACCCGGCGCGUGCCGGGUGAGUCAGGAACUC